RNAcentral lists this ribosomal RNA (400 nucleotides) under uncultured bacterium. Its description in RNAcentral is "bacterial SSU rRNA". It matches the Rfam family "Bacterial small subunit ribosomal RNA", at positions 359 to 776 of the family's 1533-position model. The record is from RNAcentral.
GAAUAUUGGACAAUGGGGGCAACCCUGAUCCAGCCAUGCCGCGUGCGUGAAGAAGGCCUUAGGGUUGUAAGGCGCUUUCACUGGUGAAGAUGAUGACGGUAGCCAGAGAAGAAGCCCCGGCUACCUCCGUGCCAGCAGCCGCGGUAAUACGGAGGGGGCAAGCGUUGUUCGGAAUUACUGGGCGUAAAGGGCGCGUAGGCGGAAUAUCAAGUUAGGGGUGAAAGGCCCGGGCUCAACAUGGGAACGGCCUCUAAAACUGAUAAUCUUGAGUCCGGAAGAGGAUGGCGGAAUUCCCAGUGUAGAGGUGAAAUUCGUAGAUAUUGGGAAGAACACCGGUGGCGAAGGCGGCCAUCUGGUCUGGAACUGACGCUGAGGCGCGAAAGCGUGGGGAGCAAACAGG